AUGAUGAAGAUGAAAGCCAUGUCUGCAAUGAUGCUUGCUCUAGUGCUUAUGGUUGAGGCUGUUUCCAUUGCUCAGGCUGCAAACUGUGAUCCAAUGCAAUUGAGCCCAUGUCUAGGGGCAAUCAUGUCAAACACAUCACCUUCUCCUGGUUGUUGCAGCAGAUUGAAUGAUCAAAAGCCAUGCCUAUGUGAAUACGCUAGAAACCCUAACUUUAAACAGUAUGUUAACUCUCCUGGUUCUAGAAAUGUUGCUAGAUCUUGUGGUGUUACCAUUCCAAACUGCUAA
This is a non-coding RNA of Vicia faba (fava bean), 285 nucleotides long. The record is from the annotation of a GenBank genome assembly. Lineage: Eukaryota; Viridiplantae; Streptophyta; Magnoliopsida; Fabales; Fabaceae.